UACAGAGGUGGCAAGCGUUGUUCGGAAUUACUGGGCGUAAAGGGCGCGUAGGCGGUUUCGUAAGUCCCGUGUGAAAGCCCCCGGCUCAACUGGGGAACUGCACGGGAAACUGCGAGGCUUGAGUUCGGGAGAGGGAAGCGGAAUUCCGGGUGUAGCGGUGAAAUGCGUAGAUAUCCGGAGGAACACCGGUGGCGAAGGCGGCUUCCUGGACCGACACUGACGCGGAGGAGCGAAAGCUAGGGGAGCAAACGGG
Molecule: ribosomal RNA, 253 nt
Filed under: uncultured bacterium
Lineage: Bacteria
Description: partial 16S ribosomal RNA
Rfam family: Bacterial small subunit ribosomal RNA
Source: RNAcentral